This 520-nucleotide ribosomal RNA is filed under the name bacterium btn 7j-3. RNAcentral's name for it is "bacterial SSU rRNA". It matches the Rfam family "Bacterial small subunit ribosomal RNA", at positions 335 to 855 of the family's 1533-position model. The record is from RNAcentral.
ACUCCUACGGGAGGCAGCAGUAAGGAAUAUUGGUCAAUGGGCGGAAGCCUGAACCAGCCAUGCCGCGUGCAGGAUGACUGCCCUAUGGGUUGUAAACUGCUUUUGUCCAGGAAUAAACCUAUAUACGUGUAGAUAGCUGAAUGUACUGGAAGAAUAAGGAUCGGCUAACUCCGUGCCAGCAGCCGCGGUAAUACGGAGGAUCCGAGCGUUAUCCGGAUUUAUUGGGUUUAAAGGGUGCGUAGGCGGCCUAUUAAGUCAGGGGUGAAAUACGGUGGCUCAACCAUCGCAGUGCCUUUGAUACUGAUGGGCUUGAAUCCAUUUGAAGUGGGCGGAAUAAGACAAGUAGCGGUGAAAUGCAUAGAUAUGUCUUAGAACUCCGAUUGCGAAGGCAGCUCACUAAGCUGGUAUUGACGCUGAUGCACGAAAGCGUGGGGAUCGAACAGGAUUAGAUACCCUGGUAGUCCACGCCCUAAACGAUGAUAACUCGAUGUUGGCGAUAGACAGCCAGCGUCCCAGCGAA